GGUUUGUGGCUCAGUGGUAGAGUGCUUACCUAGCACAUGUGAGGCACUGAGUUCAAUCCUCAGCACCA
RNAcentral lists this transfer RNA (68 nucleotides) under Marmota monax (woodchuck). RNAcentral's name for it is "tRNA.Ala". The record is from RNAcentral. Lineage: Eukaryota; Metazoa; Chordata; Mammalia; Rodentia; Sciuridae.